Molecule: long non-coding RNA, 1117 nt
Filed under: Parus major (Great Tit)
Lineage: Eukaryota; Metazoa; Chordata; Aves; Passeriformes; Paridae
Description: lncRNA (ENSPMJG00000006693.1)
Source: RNAcentral
GGAACUUGUGUUGGUAGAGAGUCUGGGGCUGCACAUCUGAACCUCCACCUGGAAGCACACUUGGGGGGAUACAAGCUAGAACUGGAGUGCCUGUUCUGAAAGGACCAGAAGUAAUUCAGCCUUACCAGGGUUUCUUAAGAGUAUAUUGGUGUUCCCCAGAAAAACUACAUAUUUGGGGAAAUGCUUUUGGAGGAGAGGGAUUGGCUUCUCAAGGAAAGUGCUUCCCAAGGAGCUCACAGUGAGGCCAAAAGGAGCUGGGAAAAGAAAGGAAGAAUGCAAACAGGUAUUCAGGAGUGUUGCUUUUCAUGUCAGGAUAUUCUCUGCCACUAGCCCACCAGGACAGCUGGUGACAUGACUUCACUGGGGAUGUUCCAGAGCCAUCUGGACACAUUCCUGUGCUCUGAGAUGACCCACUGUGGUCCAUUUCAGCCUGAACCAUCCUGGGAUUCUGUGAAACUGAAGCCAGCCAAGGACUGGAGGAGAGCUACCAUUCCUUUGAAAUUCCAUCAUCUUAGUCCUGGCUUGGGGGAUUGCUGGACUGCAACAGUAAUAGGCUGCUCAGCUCUCGGGAUGAGAGGACUCACCGCCUUGGAAUUACAGCUGGGAAAUGCUUUUGGAAAAACAGAAGAUGUGCUGGAGGAAGAUAGUGUUGUCUCUCUGGCCUGGCAGGUUUGUAUAGGUUCGGGCCUUUUUUUCCAUUAAGCUGAGAAAUUGAUUAUAUUAUUUGGAGGGAGGUAUUCCUUGGAAAACUCAUGAUUUACUCACAUGCCAUGUCCAUGAUGUUCUGUUGCUAUGACCUCAAAAGAAACAAACAGCUUCCUUGUCAAAAAGCCUCCAGCUCUCUUGAGCAGGCUGUGCCCUAAGAGGUCUGACUGUCUCCCUCCUCCUGUGGGUGUCUCCUGCUUCUUCCUUCAGGAUUUCUCCUUAGGUAUUUGUUUCCUGUCCUUUAUAAAUGGUCUGUGGAUCUCAGAGUCAAUCCACAGCUUCCAAAGUAAUUGUGUGUUUAUAGUAUUCUGGGAGGAAAAAGAUUUUAUCUUGGGAGUAAAACAAGAUGACAUUUCCACUGACUUUUGUAUUGUGUUUGAUUUCGGACCAUGCAUUGCAUUUUGCGUUUCAC